Molecule: long non-coding RNA, 594 nt
Filed under: Saimiri boliviensis boliviensis (Bolivian squirrel monkey)
Lineage: Eukaryota; Metazoa; Chordata; Mammalia; Primates; Cebidae
Description: lncRNA (ENSSBOG00000036565.1)
Source: RNAcentral
CCCGGAGCCGCAAGGCCGGGCCAGGCCUUGAACCCGAGUUCCUGUCCUCUGGCUCGGCGGAGGAGACUGGGAGUGCAUCAGCGCCGCAGAACCUCUCUCCCAGCUCUCCGAGGCCAAGCCAACUUGGGAGACCCCUCGAGGGGUCAGUGAGGUCAUUGGCGGACCGGAGGGGCCACAGUGGAGGAGACUGAGCCUCGGUUCCCGGGCUUCAUCCCUGCAAGUCCCGAGUGCGAAGCUGAGGCCGCUGAUUGCAUCUCUUCGGCGGCGUCCUCUGGGCUGGCUGUUAGAGACCAGAGAGGAAGCAGCCCUGGGCUCUCUUCAGAUGUCUCAGGGGUUGGGGUGAAGACUCGUCCACCAAAAGUGGAAGAAGCCGAAGCUGAGGAGUCAUGUCCCCGUAACUUCAGGGAAGGCGCUUCACUCCUCAAGCCUGUUUCUGCAUCAGACUACCUGCCAAUUACCCACCUCGAGGGGUCAUCAGAGAUCGCUGAGCCCUGCCAGAGGGUGCAUGGCCACGUGGGAGACAACUCAGAGUGCUUGCCACAGAUACCACGGAACACCGCUCUUCCUUUUGGUGACAAGUCACACUGCUGGUGA